RNA transcript from Beta vulgaris subsp. vulgaris (sugar beet), 2203 nucleotides. RefSeq lists it as uncharacterized. The record is from RefSeq and is a predicted model, not a curated record. The transcript is spliced from 8 exons. NCBI's taxonomy places the organism in Eukaryota, Viridiplantae, Streptophyta, Magnoliopsida, Caryophyllales, Amaranthaceae.
ACUGCCAUAGUGCCAUACUCUUAGUCUGGUACUCUUUCCUUAUUUGUCCUGCUAAUAAACAAUUGUGUAAUAUGAUUGUGAAAAAUCCAAAGUAGUAAGUUCUGCACUAAAAUGAUUUGCAUAAGUUGAAUUGUCGGUCUCUUUUCUUUGAACUAUAUCCCAGCUAUUCUUAGCAAACAAAAACAAUGGCAGCUCAAGCUCUUCUUUCUUCCCCAAACUUCAACUGUAAAGGUGACGGACAUGGUCUUAGGUUUACCUCAUCGAAAGCCAGGCCAUUGCACUUUCUGAAGGUUCCCUGUGGUUAUAAAGUAAGAGCGCGAGCUACUGCAAAUGCUAAAUCUAGAGGAAUUGAAAUCCCAAAACAUUGGUACAAUAUAAUUGCUGAUCUUUCAGUUAAACCACCUCCGCCCUUAAAUCCUCGGACUUUUGAGCCAGUCAAACCUGAAGAUUUAGCACCUCUCUUUCCAGAAGAGUUGAUCAAGCAAGAAGUGAGCAAUGAAAAAUUCAUUAAGAUACCUGAGGAGGUCCUUGAUGUAUAUAGUUUAUGGAGACCAACUCCUUUAAUCAGAGCUAAGAGAUUGGAGAAGCUCCUUGGAACUCCAGCAAGGAUUUAUUACAAGUAUGAGGGCGUUAGCCCUGCAGGAUCACAUAAACCUAACAGUUCAGUACCACAAGCUUGGUACAAUGCACAGGAAAGUGUCAAAAAGAUUGUGACCGAGACUGGAGCUGGCCAAUGGGGAAGUGCCCUUGCCUUUGCUUGCAGCAUUUUUGACCUAGAUUGCGAAGUGUGGCAAGUUCGUGCCUCGUAUGACCAGAAACCUUACAGGAAAUUGAUGAUGCAGACUUGGGGUGCCAAGGUUCACCCGUCACCAUCUGAAUUAACUGAGGCAGGUCGGAAAAUCCUCCAAACAGAUCCACUGAGCCCCGGUAGUCUAGGAAUAGCAAUAUCAGAAGCUGUAGAGAUUGCUGCAAAAAAUUCCGAUACAAAAUACUGUCUAGGAAGUGUGCUCAACCAUGUCCUGCUACAUCAGACUGUCAUAGGUGAGGAAUGCAUUAAACAGAUGGAAGCGUUUGGUGAGACCCCGGACGUGAUUAUAGGGUGCACUGGUGGAGGAUCCAACUUUGGAGGACUAUGUUUCCCUUUCAUCCGGGAAAAGCUGAGUGGUAAAAUGAAUCCUCUCAUUAGAGCUGUUGAGCCUGCUGCUUGCCCUUCCUUGACCAAAGGAGUGUAUGCUUAUGAUUAUGGUGAUACGGCUGGGAUGACUCCGUUGCUGAAGAUGCACACUCUUGGUCAUGAUUUCAUUCCAGACCCUAUCCAUGCUGGUGGUCUGCGUUACCAUGGUAUGGCACCUUUGAUUUCACAUGCAUAUGAACUGGGUUUGAUGGAAGCAGUUGCUAUUCCGCAAACUGAGUGUUUCGAAGGAGCCAUUCAAUUUGCAAGAUCUGAAGGACUGAUCCCUGCGCCAGAACCAACCCACGCUUUAGCUGCUGUCAUCAGAGAAGCUCUCCAAUGUAAAGAGACGGGAGAAUCGAAAGUGAUUCUGAUGGCAAUGUGUGGACAUGGCCACUUUGACUUGCCAGCAUAUGACAAUUUUUUGCAAGGAAAUUUGGUCGAUUUGUCCUUUUCCAAGGACAAGAUACAGGAAUCACUUGCCAAAGUCCCCCAAAUUGUGCCUUGAAGAGUUGAAUUGUAAAAGGAUCAAGUAAUGGGAUUAGCCGACUGGUCCCAUGUCAGGCAGUGUUUGAUCCGCAAGAAUAUUUGCUCUUCUAACAGCCCCAAGAAUAGUUUCAUCCUUUCAAACAACCUUAAGGAAGGUUGCUGUCGCCCACCUCCUGUAUGUCAUGAUAAUUUUUUGACGACACACGACUGCGGUGCUUGGAAAAACCAAACGGACACAAUGUGCUACUACUGCAGCAGUUGCGCAGGAGGGUUUGUUAGCCAACUUACAGUGGUGUGGAGAAGGCUGCUACCUGGGAUUGCUGUACUGCUUAUCAUCCUCCUCGUCGUUUUCGUUAUUGGUUGCAGGGUUUUCAGACUAAAUAAAGUUGAUCAUUAUAAGAGACUCUACAAAACUUAGAUAUUUCUAGACUUGUAAUACCCUUAUGGUUUUAGAUACCGGGAAACAAUUGUGUAUUAAUUCAUAUCAGAUGUAGAUUAUGAGAUGAUCAACCAUUGAAUUGAUGCAUGAAUAAAUGAUUAGCA